GCUCCAAUAGCGUAUAUUAAAGUUGUUGCGGUUAAAAAGCUCGUAGUUGAAUCUCAGUUCAUGUUAAGUGGUCCGCCAUACGGCGGUUACUUCUUAACUGAACAUUUUACAGAUUUGCCUCUUGAUGCUCUUUACCGAGUGUCAUGAGCGAUCUGUACGUUUACUUUGAAAAAAUUAGAGUGCUCAAAGCAGGCAUUUUGCCCGAAUAAUCUUGCAUGGAAUAAUGGAAUAGGACCUUAGUUCUAUUUUGUUGGUCUCCGGAAUCUGAGGUAAUGAUUAAGAGGGACAGACGGGGGCAUUCGUAUUGCGGCGCUAGAGGUGAAAUUCUUGGACCGUCGCAAGACGAACUACAGCGAAAGCAUUUGCCAAGAAUGUUUUCAUUAAUCAAGAACGAAAGU
RNAcentral lists this ribosomal RNA (398 nucleotides) under Hannemania hepatica. RNAcentral describes it as "SSU rRNA". It matches the Rfam family "Eukaryotic small subunit ribosomal RNA", at positions 588 to 990 of the family's 1831-position model. Lineage: Eukaryota; Metazoa; Arthropoda; Arachnida; Trombidiformes; Leeuwenhoekiidae. The record is from RNAcentral.